UGGACACUGAUGCCUGCGUCACAGACCAGGACAGAGCUGCGAGAGUGGAGUUAACUUGCAGAGAUCACUCGGACAAGAGGCAGGACUGGAUCCCGGGUCUGUUUGGCUCUGAAAUUCUUCAUUUUUUCCAUUGUGCACAUCAAGGAAGCCGACCCAAGAUCACGUGCAUCAUGCAAGGCUGAAUCUUCCCUUCAACCUAUGGGUCAACCGACUGAAAGCCUGUUGUUUUGAUGACUGAUAUGAAAUCCUAUUGGUUGAAACUGUGAGAAGGCGGGCUACCUACCCUCACCCCACUUCAAACCAACUGUAUGUGUCUGUGACAGUGUAUGUGUAAGUUUGGAUGACAAAAAAAAAAAAAAAUGUGGUUAAUUCUUCUUGUUGUAUAUUUCCUGCCACUGACAUUUGUUGCUGCUGCUGUGUAAUGAGGUUGAGGCUGGGUAGAGAAUCGGAUACAAAUGACCUAUAUACUUAUUCCCCAAUUAUGGCUACCUUUCUCAACUGUUCUUGGAGAACCUGGAAAGUAGAAAAGGUAACCAGGAAGACAUUUACAUGUUUUGCUCUAAUAAAGCAAGCACUUAGGACUUCAGGUCAUCUUAGUUAAUGAGAAAUUUGAAAAAAAAAUGGUUCUGUUUAAUAAAAUGAUGUAUUCUUAACAUGAAUCAUAAUGGUUCUUAC
This is a long non-coding RNA of Condylura cristata (star-nosed mole), 675 nucleotides long. RefSeq lists it as uncharacterized. The record is from RefSeq and is a predicted model, not a curated record. The transcript has 3 exons. NCBI's taxonomy places the organism in Eukaryota, Metazoa, Chordata, Mammalia, Eulipotyphla, Talpidae.